Molecule: non-coding RNA, 876 nt
Organism: Triticum urartu
Lineage: Eukaryota; Viridiplantae; Streptophyta; Magnoliopsida; Poales; Poaceae
Source: RefSeq, a predicted model, not a curated record
CGCUCUCGCGCUGCCCCCGCGGCCCCGCCCCUCAAGAAAAUACCCACCCCUUGCUUGACACGAUCCGUCGAUCGCCAACCGCACGACCCUCACUUGCACGUCCCGCGCACAACCCUCGCUGGCCUGGCCCUGGUUCUCCUCGCAAACCGCUGCUCCGUCACUCCUUUGCUCCCUCCGGCGCACGGCAGCGCCAAAACUAGCGGAUAAACAAGCAGCGCAAUUAGUGCAAUCAAUCAUCGGCGGCUCCGGUCAACGCAAUCAAUCACCAGCGGCUCCGCUCAACGCCCCCUAGAUUACUUCGCCACCAGAAGCGAGGAACCUCGAAGCGGACUGCGAGAGGAACCCCGCCGAUCGAUUCGGAGGAGAUGGGCGAGAGGCGCGACUCACCAGCCGACGGAGGUGCGAGAUCGGUGGCGGACGCGGCCUUCCUCCUUGGCGGCAGGAGGAGAGGGAGCGAGGCACGGCGAACGGGCAGGACUCGCCGGCCGGCGGAGGCGCCAGAUCGGCGGCGAACGCAAGCCCUCCUUGUUGGCGGCGGCGUGCCUUCCAAUCCUCUCUCUCUCCGGACGACUAGCUGACCUCGCCCGCCUCGUGGCCGCAUCACCGAGAUUCCAGUGUCUCGCUUCAGCAAGCUCCUCCUCGCUCUCAUCAUCAACCUCCUCUAUGUGGUCGACGGCUGCAUCCCUGACUUGGACUAUGUUUCUGUAGGUGAAGGUUCUCAAGUGUGAGCUCUGAAGUUCUUCCCCACACGGUCCCGUACUGUCGCAGCACAUGUAAUUGGCUGCCUGCUUUUCUAAUGCCUGUGUUUUUAGUAGACUGCUGGUGUAUCCUGUCAUUCUGUGUAUGUUGCAAACUGGAAACUAGAAGAUUUUGUGA